Molecule: ribosomal RNA, 200 nt
Filed under: uncultured bacterium
Lineage: Bacteria
Description: partial 16S ribosomal RNA
Source: RNAcentral
GACGAACGCUGGCGGCGUGCUUAACACAUGCAAGUCGAGCGGUAAGGCCCUUUCGGGGUACGACGAGCGGCGAACGGGUAGGAGUAACAACGUGGGUGGACCUCGCCCUCCAGCUCUGGGAGUAAGACCUCGGGAAACCGGGGUACCGUAAUAACUGGAGUAUGACUCCAUGACGCAUGUUGUGGGGUGGGAAAGACCUU